This 258-nucleotide ribosomal RNA is filed under the name uncultured Glomus. Its description in RNAcentral is "partial 18S ribosomal RNA". It matches the Rfam family "Eukaryotic small subunit ribosomal RNA", at positions 624 to 886 of the family's 1831-position model. Lineage: Eukaryota; Fungi; Glomeromycota; Glomeromycetes; Glomerales; Glomeraceae. The record is from RNAcentral.
AAGCUCGUAGUUGAAUUUCGGGGUCAGCAGGUUGGUCGUGCCAAUGGUAUGAACUGGCCUUGCUGAUUCCUCCCUCUUGAUGAGCCGUAAUGCUAUUAAUUUGGUGUUGCGGGGAAUCAGGACUGUUACUUUGAAAAAAUUAGAGUGCUUAAAGCAGGCAAGCGCUUGAAUACAUUAGCAUGGAAUAAUGAAAUAGGACGUUUGAUCCUAUUUUGUUGGUUUCUAGGAUUGACGUAAUGAUUAAUAGGGAUAGUUGGG